GAGAAUAUGGAAGGAGAAAAGCUGCCUCCCUCUCUCUUGCUACUUCAAAUUAAACAUUGUCGUUUGCUGGAAGAACACUGCAAGAACAAGCGUCAACUAAUCUGGCCCAAAAUUUCCCACAUUCCCACCAUUGAAGUGAACUUCAAACAAAUUGUCUGAACAGAGAUUUCUGAGCAGAGUUACCUAUCAUGCUAGAAGAUUCAAGGUAAAAGGAAUCAGCAUGAGAGAUAGACUGUCCAA
Long non-coding RNA from Arachis duranensis, 240 nucleotides. RefSeq lists it as uncharacterized. The record is from RefSeq and is a predicted model, not a curated record. NCBI's taxonomy places the organism in Eukaryota, Viridiplantae, Streptophyta, Magnoliopsida, Fabales, Fabaceae. The transcript has 3 exons.